This 1607-nucleotide ribosomal RNA is filed under the name Salmonella enterica. RNAcentral's name for it is "partial 23S ribosomal RNA". It matches the Rfam family "Bacterial large subunit ribosomal RNA", at positions 1213 to 2802 of the family's 2925-position model. Lineage: Bacteria; Pseudomonadati; Pseudomonadota; Gammaproteobacteria; Enterobacterales; Enterobacteriaceae. The record is from RNAcentral.
CUCAGGUGUUGUUGGGUAGGGGAGCGUUCUGUAAGCCUGCGAAGGUGUGUCGUGAGGCAUGCUGGAGGUAUCAGAAGUGCGAAUGCUGACAUAAGUAACGAUAAAGCGGGUGAAAAGCCCGCUCGCCGGAAGACCAAGGGUUCCUGUCCAACGUUAAUCGGGGCAGGGUGAGUCGACCCCUAAGGCGAGGCCGAAAGGCGUAGUCGAUGGGAAACGGGUUAAUAUUCCCGUACUUGGUGUUACUGCGAAGGGGGGACGGAGAAGGCUAUGUUGGCCGGGCGACGGUUGUCCCGGUUUAAGCGUGUAGGUGUGUGUUCCAGGUAAAUCCGGUUCACUUUAACACUGAGGCGUGAUGACGAGGCACUACGGUGCUGAAGCAACAAAUGCCCUGCUUCCAGGAAAAGCCUCUAAGCAUCAGGUAACAUCAAAUCGUACCCCAAACCGACACAGGUGGUCAGGUAGAGAAUACCAAGGCGCUUGAGAGAACUCGGGUGAAGGAACUAGGCAAAAUGGUGCCGUAACUUCGGGAGAAGGCACGCUGACACGUAGGUGAAGUGAUUUACUCAUGGAGCUGAAGUCAGUCGAAGAUACCAGCUGGCUGCAACUGUUUAUUAAAAACACAGCACUGUGCAAACACGAAAGUGGACGUAUACGGUGUGACGCCUGCCCGGUGCCGGAAGGUUAAUUGAUGGGGUCAGCGCAAGCGAAGCUCCUGAUCGAAGCCCCGGUAAACGGCGGCCGUAACUAUAACGGUCCUAAGGUAGCGAAAUUCCUUGUCGGGUAAGUUCCGACCUGCACGAAUGGCGUAAUGAUGGCCAGGCUGUCUCCACCCGAGACUCAGUGAAAUUGAACUCGCUGUGAAGAUGCAGUGUACCCGCGGCAAGACGGAAAGACCCCGUGAACCUUUACUAUAGCUUGACACUGAACAUUGAGCCUUGAUGUGUAGGAUAGGUGGGAGGCUUUGAAGUGUGGACGCCAGUCUGCAUGGAGCCGGCCUUGAAAUACCACCCUUUAAUGUUUGAUGUUCUAACGUGGACCCGUGAUCCGGGUUGCGGACAGUGUCUGGUGGGUAGUUUGACUGGGGCGGUCUCCUCCUAAAGAGUAACGGAGGAGCACGAAGGUUGGCUAAUCCUGGUCGGACAUCAGGAGGUUAGUGCAAUGGCAUAAGCCAGCUUGACUGCGAGCGUGACGGCGCGAGCAGGUGCGAAAGCAGGUCAUAGUGAUCCGGUGGUUCUGAAUGGAAGGGCCAUCGCUCAACGGAUAAAAGGUACUCCGGGGAUAACAGGCUGAUACCGCCCAAGAGUUCAUAUCGACGGCGGUGUUUGGCACCUCGAUGUCGGCUCAUCACAUCCUGGGGCUGAAGUAGGUCCCAAGGGUAUGGCUGUUCGCCAUUUAAAGUGGUACGCGAGCUGGGUUUAGAACGUCGUGAGACAGUUCGGUCCCUAUCUGCCGUGGGCGCUGGAGAACUGAGGGGGGCUGCUCCUAGUACGAGAGGACCGGAGUGGACGCAUCACUGGUGUUCGGGUUGUCAUGCCAAUGGCACUGCCCGGUAGCUAAAUGCGGAAGAGAUAAGUGCUGAAAGCAUCUAAGCACGAAACUUGCCCCGA